CAGGUGUUGUUGCGGAUGAAGUCCCGCUGGGAGGCCUCCAGCUCGGCCCGCAGCUCCACCUCGUAGGGCAGCUCGAUGGCGGAGAAGACCCCGGCGCCAAUGAGCAGGUAGACGAGGUCAGUCUGUGGUUGGGCCAGCCGUCCAGAUCGCCGUCUUCGCCACAGAGAAAACCGUCGCCGGCAAAGCCGACCGCGCACACACACUUGUACAGGACCUCCGACGCCAAGCCCAGUGAGUGCCGUUGCCGUGGGAACCCAGCGGACACUGCCCGCAUUGCCAGGAGCCGUCACUUCGCGAGGAGCACGCCACGCCGGGGAAGCACGGAGUCGACAGCAAACACGGACGUGUCCCAAAGCAAAGUAGGAUGACAUACGAGCCCUGGUGCACUCCACCAGAGGGGAGCUACAAUACUACUAUACUAUCUUCUAGAAGGUUCCCGGUGAUGAGACGCAUGUCGUGGAUCUCGGCGAACAUCUGCACCGCGUCUUCACACGGGUGACGACACACUGCUGAUGUCACGUUGGCGAGCCCUGCGCCGCACACACCUGCACAGGAGGAGAGUGUGUGUGUGUAUC
Nerophis lumbriciformis (worm pipefish) is the source of this 575-nucleotide long non-coding RNA. RefSeq lists it as uncharacterized. The record is from RefSeq and is a predicted model, not a curated record. NCBI's taxonomy places the organism in Eukaryota, Metazoa, Chordata, Actinopteri, Syngnathiformes, Syngnathidae.